This 503-nucleotide ribosomal RNA is filed under the name uncultured bacterium. Its description in RNAcentral is "partial 16S ribosomal RNA". It matches the Rfam family "Bacterial small subunit ribosomal RNA", at positions 30 to 523 of the family's 1533-position model. The record is from RNAcentral.
AUUGAACGCUGGCGGCAUGCCUUACACAUGCAAGUCGAACGGCAGCAUGGAGAGCUUGCUCUCUGAUGGCGAGUGGCGAACGGGUGAGUAAUGCAUCGGAACGUACCGUGUAAUGGGGGAUAACGUAGCGAAAGUUACGCUAAUACCGCAUACGACCUGAGGGUGAAAGCAGGGGAUCGCAAGACCUUGCGUUAUACGAGCGGCCGAUGUCAGAUUAGCUAGUUGGUGAGGUGAAGGCUCACCAAGGCGACGAUCUGUAGCGGGUCUGAGAGGAUGAGCCGCCACACUGGGACUGAGACCCGGCCCAGACUCCUACGGGAGGCAGCAGUGGGGAAUUUUGGACAAUGGGGCAACCCUGAUCCAGCCAUGCCGCGUGAGUGAAGAAGGCCUUCGGGUUGUAAAGCUCUUUCGGCCGGGAAGAAAUCGCACAGGCUAAUACUCUGUGUGGAUGACGGUACCGGCAUAAGAAGCACCGGCUAACUACGUGCCAGCCGCCGCAGUAA